Molecule: unclassified non-coding RNA, 1706 nt
Filed under: Hevea brasiliensis (rubber tree)
Lineage: Eukaryota; Viridiplantae; Streptophyta; Magnoliopsida; Malpighiales; Euphorbiaceae
Source: RNAcentral
GCAAAACGCAGAACAUAUACAAUCAUAUUUAAAACAAAUACAUAUGAUAACAUUGAGUUGCCUCAUAAAAAAAAAUGUAAUACACUUAAUUUAUCAUAUAUAGAAGGUAGAAGUAUAGAACAAUGACCAUAGUCUACCUAUAACAAAUAGGUUUCAAGUGCUACCUCUAUAUCCCCAGAUCAGUGUACAUGAUCUUUACAUAUGAUACUAUGAUACAUGAAUAUAUAUGGUGGUCUUAAAAUUUCGGCUUAUCCAAUUCCAAGUAAAUGAAUUGGAUGAAAUAUAAAUUAAUACAUAUAUUACACUUCAUAAGCGUAUUUUAAUAAAAUUAUAAUAAUUAAUAUAAUCACUGAUUGAAACCUGGAACAUUAGAUCAGCAAUAGUCAGAACAUUUACCCAAAUUCUACCUGCGCAGUUCAGAUACUCAUACUAUGUAGGUCUGUUUCAAAUUCUUUCUUCCCCGCUUUCUUCUUGGGUUGGCACUGAUCAUGCAAGAGAAGGCAUUGACAAGCUCUGGAUCCUCUUCAGUUAUGAGCAUCUUAGCUGCAGAUGGGUCUGCAAGCAAGAGCUUUGCUACAAGGUAUCCAGCAAUAGACCAGGUCUGGAACAGGCGUGCUUGUUUUCCAAUGAAUCUUGCUCUUUUGGUAUCAUAAUAUUCAGGCCACUUGUCCCGUGAUAUGCAUCUUUCGGCAACUUCAACAGCUCUGGCAGCAAUUUCUGGUCUAUUCAUCUUUAUGCCUGCAACUGUCAGCUGCCAAAGAAGAGUUGGCCAAGAACCUGCAUUGUGGUAAGACCAAGGCGUGUUCUUGGGAUCACUGCCUGUGAUGAUCUGCCAUUCCUGGCCUUCAAGAGCAGGAUAACAUAUCUUCAAUGGCAUGCCUGCUACUAGAUCUGUCCACUUGGCUUCAAUGAGAUCCAAUAUGGCAUGUGAUUGAUCUAUUGUAGCAAGACCACUUACAACAGACCAUAAGUUUCCAAGAGAGAAAAAUCUAAAAUCCAUGUGAGCUGGUUGCAAGUUCCCAAUUAGAUAGCCCCCUUGGUUGGGCAUCCAUUCCACCAGCCAAGGAGAAAUCUGAUCUGGAUAAAUGUUGAACUUAUUAACUGCAUCAUAAGAGUACUCUUCAGUCUUGUAACGAUAAAUCUCAUUUAGUUUUCUCAAAUCAAUCCAAUAAUAUUCCCUGAUAUGGAAUGACAGAGCAACUAGACGAUUGUUCAAAGCUCGGAUGAGAUCAGCUGAUCCAUCCUCAGGAGCAAGCAUCUCCCGAGCACAAAGUAGUGCUGAAUAAAAAAGUGCCUGAAUUUCUAGAGGGUGGCCAUGAAUUCCCAUACGGCGAUCUAUCAUGCAAGAACCAUCAGUCACCAACAAUGUUGGGAACAUGUCAAAACCAUCAGCAAGACACAGCCUCAGAAUCAUCUUAAUUCCAGUCUGCACAUCAAUCCUCUCCAGAAUUGAGAGAUCACCAGAACAUUUUCCAUAUGCACGUAAUAAGAUAAUCCACCAUAAUCCAGAAUCAACAGGUGCAACACGACCUAUUGCCGCCUCUCCAAAGUCAGGAUCCAAUACCUCUUCAGUUGCUGAGUCAUCACCAUCCAGGGGAACUGUACGUACCUUGAAACUAGCAGGCAUCAAUCCCUGACCCGGGCUGUGACAGUCCAUUGUUUUCUCCCAGCUCUGCAACUGAAGUGUGUGAAGAAUGAAAUUCCGA